Pezoporus occidentalis (night parrot) is the source of this 696-nucleotide long non-coding RNA. RefSeq lists it as uncharacterized. Lineage: Eukaryota; Metazoa; Chordata; Aves; Psittaciformes; Psittacidae. The transcript is spliced from 3 exons. The record is from RefSeq and is a predicted model, not a curated record.
CUCUAGGAAGAGACAGCAGUUUAAGAAUGCAAGUCUAGUAAGACUGUUGCAAGAAGAUUUUAUAUUGGUAUACAAGAAGCAAAGGCAGGAAGACACAAAGAUGUUAAAGAGGGGAGGUAGGAAAUAAUGGCUAUUUGGUGCACCCAUGUUCAUCUUGUGUUUGGUUGUACAGGAAGCGGUUGUCCAUUUUGCCUGGAGGAGCAUUUGUGAAGCACUGUUCUGAGGAAUAAUCCAGUCUCCCACUCCACCAUAGCUGAAUGGAUUGCUGCUGAGAUCCCUGGGCCAGGGGUGCAGUGUCAGUUUCACAGGAGUCUUGCUUAGCAGGAUGAUGCUGGUGUGACCACUGUGAACAAGGCCAGUGUGGCUUUCUGUGUGUGCCUGCAAUUAGAUUGGUGGAUCCCUACAUUGCAGAGAUCAGAAUAACUGCUGCAGCCCUCCAGCGCAGCAGCUUGAUCCAGAACACAGCUGCUAUGAAAUUCUAUAUAUGACCCACCUUCGACAUGAAAAUCUUUGCUACUUCGUUGAUGAUCCUGUCUCUUGUUUUGAGUUCUGUGCUAAUAAGUAAUGAAAAUGUUACAGCCUUACAGCUUGUUUUGUGGUUGCAAUUAUGUAAUCAUUAUUAAUGAAGCAACAAUGUCAAAACUGUGUGAAACCAAACUCACAUUUAAGCACUUACAAUAAACAGAUAUAAAACAA